This is a long non-coding RNA of Dermacentor andersoni, 664 nucleotides long. RefSeq lists it as uncharacterized. NCBI's taxonomy places the organism in Eukaryota, Metazoa, Arthropoda, Arachnida, Ixodida, Ixodidae. The record is from RefSeq and is a predicted model, not a curated record.
UAGACGAGGCAACCUAAAGUUUGCCCGCGCGGCACCAGCGCCGAAUGCUCCCCUAGCGGACCGAUGGAAGUUUCGAGGGUCGUCGCUGCGCGAGCGCGCGCCCGUGAUCUGUUCGGCGGGAGCGCUCGUGCUGGCUCGGGCGCGUUGUUUUUGCGAUGGCGAGUGCGACCUCAUCAGCAAGGAAAGGUGGCACGCAAUACUGCUGUAUUGUUGAUUGCCAUAACAGCCUCGAAAACACGAAAGGUCGAACGCCGCCCGUGAAAUUCUACAGAUUUCCGGGAAGUGGUACGAGAAGGUCAGACGACAAGCAUGGAUAAUUGCAGUGCGCCGAGUCAAUGCUGAUGACACUCCCUGGGAGCCAUCCAAAAGCAUGCGAAUUUACAAAAACAAGCAGGCUUUGCGAAGCAAAGACAUCGAUAACGCUUGCCAUUGUUCGCUGACAGCUCCGCGCAAAUCAGAACGAACACAAACGUGUAAUUUACCAAUGCUCCAGCCAAGAAAUUUAGCAGCAAAAGGGGGAAGCACAAAAUGAGAGCAGCCGUGUGCGCGCACUCAGCUACCGAGGAAACUAACGGCAAUCGUCACCGUCCCUCCACAUCUCUGCAAGUAUGCAUGACCGCUUUGUGCCUGCAUCAUAUAGAAAUAAAGUGGCUAAACUUCUGAA